RNAcentral lists this transfer RNA (73 nucleotides) under Ailuropoda melanoleuca (giant panda). It matches the Rfam family "tRNA". Rfam says of the family: Transfer RNA (tRNA) molecules are approximately 80 nucleotides in length. Lineage: Eukaryota; Metazoa; Chordata; Mammalia; Carnivora; Ursidae. The record is from Rfam by way of RNAcentral.
GCCUAGCUGGCUCAGUGGGAAGAGUAUAAGACUCCUGAUCUCAGAGUUGUGAGUUCGAUCCUCAUGUUGGGUA